This 254-nucleotide ribosomal RNA is filed under the name uncultured bacterium. RNAcentral describes it as "partial 16S ribosomal RNA". It matches the Rfam family "Bacterial small subunit ribosomal RNA", at positions 524 to 776 of the family's 1533-position model. The record is from RNAcentral.
UACGGGGGGAGCAAGCGUUGUUCGGAUUUACUGGGCGUAAAGGGCGCGUAGGCGGCCAGCACAAGUCAGUUGUGAAAUCUCCGAGCUUAACUCGGGAAGGUCAACUGAUACUGUGCGGCUAGAGUGCGGAAGAGGCAACUGGAAUUCUUGGUGUAGCGGUGAAAUGCGUAGAUAUCAAGAGGAACACCUGCGGCGAAGGCGGGUUGCUGGGCCGACACUGACGCUGAUGCGCGAAAGCCAGGGGAGCGAACGGG